GGACGAACGCUGGCGGCGUGCUUAACACAUGCAAGUCGAACGGAGAGGCCCUGCUUUUGUGGGGUGCUCGAGUGGCGAACGGGUGAGUAACCCGUGAGUAACCUGCCCUUGACUUUGGGAUAACUUCAGGAAACUGGGGCUAAUACCGGAUAGGAGCUCCUGCUGCAUGGUGGGGGUUGGAAAGUUUCGGCGGUUGGGGAUGGACUCGCGGCUUAUCAGCUUGUUGGUGGGGUAGUGGCUUACCAAGGCUUUGACGGGUAGCCGGCCUGAGAGGGUGACCGGCCACAUUGGGACUGAGAUACGGCCCAGACUCCUACGGGAGGCAGCAGUGGGGAAUAUUGCACAAUGGGCGGAAGCCUGAUGCAGCAACGCCGCGUGCGGGAUGACGGCCUUCGGGUUGUAAACCGCUUUCGCCUGUGACGAAGCGUGAGUGACGGUAAUGGGUAAAGAAGCACCGGCUAACUACGUG
Molecule: ribosomal RNA, 469 nt
Filed under: uncultured bacterium
Lineage: Bacteria
Description: partial 16S ribosomal RNA
Rfam family: Bacterial small subunit ribosomal RNA
Source: RNAcentral